GACACAAACAGCAAUGCUGAAAAGGUC
Molecule: non-coding RNA, 27 nt
Filed under: Rattus norvegicus (Norway rat)
Lineage: Eukaryota; Metazoa; Chordata; Mammalia; Rodentia; Muridae
Source: RNAcentral